This is a long non-coding RNA of Quercus robur (English oak), 417 nucleotides long. RefSeq lists it as uncharacterized. The record is from RefSeq and is a predicted model, not a curated record. Lineage: Eukaryota; Viridiplantae; Streptophyta; Magnoliopsida; Fagales; Fagaceae. The transcript has 2 exons.
GGUACAGCACUGAACUCUACGCUAUUGGGCUUGAAGCAAAGAUCAAGCCGUCCAAAACUAUCGUUCCUGUGGGCUAGGAGAAGCCACCAAGGGGCUGGUUGAAGCUUAAUUCAGAUGGUUCAACCCUGAAGAACCCAGGAAUCUCAUGAAGCAAAUCCCAAACAAGCGCGUGAUUCAUUCCUACCGUAAAGCCAAUCAAUGUGUAGAUACUUUAGCCAAGCUAGGAGCACAAUCCUUCAUUCAUUUUGUUGUUUUUUGUAACCUACCGCCUGUGGUGGAGACUUUGUUAAUUUUUGAUAAGGCUAGUAUGUAUUAUAAUAGACAUGUAAAUUCCUAGUUUAAUGUUAAAUCUUGGUUUACCCCCAAAAAAAAAUAAUAAUAAAAAUAAAGAGACAACUUUUUUUUUUCAGAUUUUAA